AUGGACAGGUUACCCCCCAUCCGCACACCCACUAAGAGUCUGCACGUGGCCGGCCAGUGGAAAGCCUGGACGCUCAGGUCUUUUCUCUACCAGCAGUGCAGGAACACAAGGAUCCCAAAUGAGCAGGCACGACAGCCUGAGGCACUCAGCGCCCCAGUUGAGGUUCAAAGAACACCAUUCAUGGACACUACGGGCCGAAGCAGAGGAUGGCACAGGGAUCCCACCAUGAGCACCGAGACAGCUUCCGAGCACUCAGGUCCCAUCAAGGCCACACCACUCCCAGGGAAGCACCAUGCUCCUGUGAGCCACAGUUGUAGAAGUGCAAGCAGACAAACACACACGAGGAACAACUGUGAGAUGGAUCCAGGCACUCAGGUCACGCCGCCCGAGGCUUUCCACCGGGCCGACAGCCGAGAUACACACAGUCCGGCCAGGAGCACCAGCGGGUUCAGGACAAGCACAGGCCGGAGAUCCAGUGUUAGCCAGGACAGUGACAACAGAGCCGGCCGCGGCAAUCUGCAGAUAGCUCCAGAUAACUGUGUACCUGUCACAGAGAUUUCUCCGUGGGAUAGGCCAGGCUAUCCUAAAGGAACAGUGGCAGACUGGUUCCAGCAGAAAGACAUGGAUCCUGCCACCAGCAGUCAGCAGACAGCCCAGACACUCAGAACAGGGCGGAUAAGCUUCUGCAUCUGCAGUCAGCACUGUGAUACCAGGGAUCAAGCGUGUACUCAGUCUGAGUGGACACCCAGCAGUGCAGGAACACAAGGAUCCUACAAUGAGCAGGCACGAGACAGCCCAGGCACUGCAGCGCCCCAUGAGGUUCUGGAAUACCAUUCAUGGACACUACGGUCAAGCAGAGGAGGAAGACAGGGAUCCCACCAUGAGCAAUCGGUAGACAGCUCUGGACACUCAGGGUCCCAUCACAGCCACACCACCUCCCAGGGAAGGUCUGAUGCCUCCCGUGGGGAGUCAGGAGCCAGAAGUGCAAGCAGACAAACAUGUCACGAGGAACAAUCAGGAGAUGGAUCCAGGCACUCAGGGUCACGUCACCACGAGGCUUCCAAUUGGGCCAUAGCCUAGACACUCCAGCAGUCCAGCCAGGGACAAUCAGCGGGGUUCAGACAAGCACGGGGCCGGAGAUCCAGUGUUAGCCAGGAUAGUGACAGUGAGGGACAUCAAAGACUCUGAGAGGCAGUCUGAGUUUGCUUCCCAGAAUCCACUGCGGAUCUGUUCGGGAGCAGCAAGAGAUGGCCUCCACACUGGGUCCACUACUAAGAUACAAAGUCGGUCACAGGUACUCUGGAGACAGCUCCAGACAAUCAGGAACUCAUCACAUGGAGAUUCUCUCAUGACAGGCUGCAUCAUCCCAUGAACAAAGAGACUGAGCCCAGGAGAAAGACAUGGAUCUCAAAUGCACCAGCAGUCAGCAGACACUCCCAGACACUCAGAAACUGACGUGGAUAAGUUUCAUCUGCAGUCAGAAUGUGGACACCAGGGACUAAGAGGUAGUCAGUCAGUGACAGUGAGGGAUAUUCAGAAGACUCAGAUACACAGUCAGUGUCAGGCCAGGUACAGGCUGGUCCCAUCCGCACAGCCACUUCAAGAGCUCCGUAAUACGUGGCCGGGCCAGGGGAAAAAGGUCUGGAUGUCUAGGUCUUUCUCUACCAGGUGAGUACUCUAUGAACAGUCUGAGUCUGCUCAUGUAAUGGACUGGCCUAGCUCUGGUGGAAGAUAAGGGUCCUGCGAAUGAGCAAGCACGAGACAACUCCAGGCACUCAGUGUCCCAUGAGGGUCAGGACACAAAUUCAUGGACACCGAGGGUCAAGCAGAAGAGGGAAGGCAGGAUCUCACCAUGAGCAAUCGGGUAGAGAGCUCUGGGACACUCAGGGUCCUAUCACAGCCACACCACCUCCCAGGGAAGGUCUGAUGCCUCCCGUGGGCAGUCAGGAUCAAGAAGUGCAAGCAGACAAACACGUCAUGAAGAACAAUCAGGAGACGGAUACAGGCACUCAGGGUCACGUCACCACGAGGCUUCCACUCAGGCCGACAGCUCUAGACACUCACAGUCUGGCCAGGGACAGUCAGAGUGGUCCAGGAGAAGCACACUUCGGGGAUCCAGUGUUAGCCAGGACAGUGCCAGUGAGGGACACUCAGAAGACUCUGAGAGGCAGUCUGAGUCUGCUUCCAGAAAUCCUCAUGGAUCUGUUCGGGAGCAGUCAAGAGAUGUAUCCAGACACCCCCGAUCCUAUCAUCAUGAUACAGGCAAUCAUGUUCAAUCUUCCUCUGUAUAUUCAGACACUACUACCAGUAAAGAACAUGGUCACUUCGGUAGUCUUUCACAAGAUUCUGCAUAUCAUUCAGGAAUACAGUCACGUGGCAGUCCUCACAGUUCUAGUUCUUAUAAUUAUCACUCUGAGGGCACUGAUAUGGAAAGAGGUCAAUCAGGUUUAGUUUGGAGACAUGGCAGCUAUGGUAGUGCAGAUUAUGAUUAUGGUGAAUCCAGGUUUAGACACUGUCAGCAUGGAAGUGUUAGUUACAAUUCCAAUCCUGUUGUUUUCAAGGAAAGAUCUGAUAUCCGAAAAGCAAGUGAAUUUGGUGAAGAUCAUCCAAGGUAUUAUGCAACAUAUAUUAAUAGGCAACCAGGUUUAUAUGGCCAUUCUAGUGAUAUAUCAAAACAACUGGGAUUUAGUCAGUCACAGAGAUACUAUUACUAUGAGUAAGAAAUUAAUGGCAAAAGAAUUAAUCCACGAAUAGAAGAAUGAA
Non-coding RNA from Chlorocebus sabaeus (green monkey), 2763 nucleotides. Lineage: Eukaryota; Metazoa; Chordata; Mammalia; Primates; Cercopithecidae. The record is from RefSeq and is a predicted model, not a curated record.